CGGUUUCGUCGGCGGCGGGCAUGCCUCGCCGUCGCAGGUCGAUGCAUUGCGCGCGAUCGGCGCGCGCCAUGUGUUCGAUCGCAUGGACCUGC
This 92-nucleotide transfer RNA is filed under the name Burkholderia gladioli. RNAcentral describes it as "tRNA-Ala(cgc)". Lineage: Bacteria; Pseudomonadati; Pseudomonadota; Betaproteobacteria; Burkholderiales; Burkholderiaceae. RNAcentral also lists the same sequence under 1 other name. The record is from RNAcentral.